CGGACGGGUGAGUAAUGCAUAGGAAUUUGCCUUGGAGUGGGGGAUAGCCCGGAGAAAUCCGGAUUAAUACCGCAUACCCUCUACGGAGGAAAGUGCGCCUCUUCUUGAAAGCGCACGCUUUGAGAUAAGCCUAUGUCGGAUUAGCUUGUUGGUGGGGUAAAGGCCUACCAAGGCGACGAUCCGUAGCUGGUUUGAGAGGAUGAUCAGCCACACUGGGACUGAGACACGGCCCAG
RNAcentral lists this ribosomal RNA (234 nucleotides) under uncultured bacterium. RNAcentral describes it as "partial 16S ribosomal RNA". It matches the Rfam family "Bacterial small subunit ribosomal RNA", at positions 99 to 334 of the family's 1533-position model. The record is from RNAcentral.